UCCCUCUUAGCUCAGUGGUAGAGCGCUUCACUAGUAAUCAAAGAAUACAUGAAGAGGUCAGUCGUUCAAGUCGGCUAGAGGGAA
Molecule: non-coding RNA, 84 nt
Organism: Marasmius fiardii PR-910
Lineage: Eukaryota; Fungi; Basidiomycota; Agaricomycetes; Agaricales; Marasmiaceae
Source: the annotation of a GenBank genome assembly